GCUCCCUUAGCUCAGCUGGAUAGAGCAACUGCCUUCUAAGCAGUGGGCCGCAAGUUCGAAUCUUGCAGGGAGCG
This 74-nucleotide transfer RNA is filed under the name Prochlorococcus marinus str. PAC1. RNAcentral describes it as "tRNA-Arg". It matches the Rfam family "tRNA". Rfam says of the family: Transfer RNA (tRNA) molecules are approximately 80 nucleotides in length. The record is from RNAcentral. Lineage: Bacteria; Bacillati; Cyanobacteriota; Cyanophyceae; Synechococcales; Prochlorococcaceae. RNAcentral also lists the same sequence under 10 other names.